Molecule: ribosomal RNA, 465 nt
Filed under: uncultured bacterium
Lineage: Bacteria
Description: bacterial SSU rRNA
Rfam family: Bacterial small subunit ribosomal RNA
Source: RNAcentral
AGGACGACGCUGGCGGCGUGCCUAACACAUGCAAGUCGAACGAAGAAUGUUUUCGGAAUAUUCUUAGUGGCGGACGGGUGAGUAACGCGUGAACAAUCUGCCCCGUACAAAGGGAUAGCCUCGGGAAACCGGGAUUAAAACCAUAUAACGCUUAACUGCCGCAUGGUAGUGAAGUCAAAUCGAUUAAGAGGUAUGGGAUGAGUUCGCGUCUGAUUAGCUAGUUGGUGAGGUAAGGGCUCACCAAGGCGACGAUCAGUAGCCGGCCUGAGAGGGUGAACGGCCACACUGGAACUGAGACACGGUCCAGACUCCUACGGGAGGCAGCAGUGGGGAAUAUUGCACAAUGGAGGGAACUCUGAUGCAGCGACGCCGCGUGAGUGAAGAAGGCCUUCGGGUUGUAAAACUCUGUCAUCAGGGAAGAAGAAAGUGACGGUACCUGAGGAGGAAGCCCCGGCUAACUACGUG